This 60-nucleotide transfer RNA is filed under the name Echinostoma sp. JM-2019. RNAcentral's name for it is "tRNA-His". The record is from RNAcentral. Lineage: Eukaryota; Metazoa; Platyhelminthes; Trematoda; Plagiorchiida; Echinostomatidae.
UCUUUUGUAGGUUAUGAUUAAACUGAUGGUUUGUGGUACCGUUGAAUCUAAAUUAUUAGG